GACGAACGCUGGCGGCGUGCUUAACACAUGCAAGUCGAACGGAAAGGCCCUGCUUUUGUGGGGUGCUCGAGUGGCGAACGGGUGAGUAACACGUGAGUAACCUGCCCUUGACUUUGGGAUAACUUCAGGAAACUGGGGCUAAUACCGGAUAGGAGCUCCUGCUGCAUGGUGGGGGUUGGAAAGUUUCGGCGGUUGGGGAUGGACUCGCGGCUUAUCAGCUUGUUGGUGGGGUAGUGGCUUACCAAGGCUUUGACGGGUAGCCGGCCUGAGAGGGUGACCGGCCACAUUGGGACUGAGAUACGGCCCAGACUCCUACGGGAGGCAGCAGUGGGGAAUAUUGCACAAUGGGCGGAAGCCUGAUGCAGCAACGCCGCGUGCGGGAUGACGGCCUUCGGGUUGUAAACCGCUUUCGCCUGUGACGAAGCGUGAGUGACGGUAAUGGGUAAAGAAGCACCGGCUAACUACGUGCCAGCAGCCGCGGUGAUACGUAGGGUGCGAGCGUUGUCCGGAUUUAUUGGGCGUAAAGGGCUCGUAGGUGGUUGAUCGCGUCGGAAGUGUAAUCUUGGGGCUUAACCCUGAGCGUGCUUUCGAUACGGGUUGACUUGAGGAAGGUAGGGGAGAAUGGAAUUCCUGGUGGAGCGGUGGAAUGCGCAGAUAUCAGGAGGAACACCAGUGGCGAAGGCGGUUCUCUGGGCCUUUCCUGACGCUGAGGAGCGAAAGCGUGGGGAGCGAACAGGCUUAGAUACCCUGGUAGUCCACGCUGUAAACGGUGGGUACUAGGUGUGGGGUCCAUUCCACGGGUUCCGUGCCGUAGCUAACGCUUUAAGUACCCCGCCUGGGGAGUACGGCCGCAGGGCUAAAACUCAAAGGAAUUGACGGGGCCCCGCACAAGCGGCGGAGCAUGCGGAUUAAUUCGAUGCAACGCGUAGAACCUUACCUGGGUUUGACAUGGGUCGGGAGUGCUCAGAGAUGGGUGUGCCUCUUUUGGGGUCGGUUCACAGGUGGUGCAUGGCUGUCGUCAGCUCGUGUCGUGAGAUGUUGGGUUAAGUCCCGCAACGAGCGCAACCCUUGUUCACUGUUGCCAGCACGUUAUGGUGGGGACUCAGUGGAGACCGCCGGGGUCAACUCGGAGGAAGGCGGGGAUGACGUCAAGUCAUCAUGCCCCUUAUGUCCAGGGCUUCACGCAUGCUACAAUGGCUGGUACAGAGAGUGGCGAGCCUGUGAGGGUGAGCGAAUCUCGGAAAGCCUGUCCCAGUUCGGAUUGCACUCUGCAACUCGAGUGCAUGAAGUUGGAGUUGCUAGUAAUCGCAGAUCAGAAUGCUGCGGUGAAUGCGUUCCCGGGUCU
RNAcentral lists this ribosomal RNA (1345 nucleotides) under uncultured bacterium. Its description in RNAcentral is "bacterial SSU rRNA". It matches the Rfam family "Bacterial small subunit ribosomal RNA", at positions 28 to 1381 of the family's 1533-position model. The record is from RNAcentral.